RNAcentral lists this transfer RNA (68 nucleotides) under Phacochoerus africanus (Common warthog). Its description in RNAcentral is "tRNA-Ala". It matches the Rfam family "tRNA". From Rfam's summary of the family: Transfer RNA (tRNA) molecules are approximately 80 nucleotides in length. Their secondary structure includes four short double-helical elements and three loops (D, anti-codon, and T loops). The record is from RNAcentral. Lineage: Eukaryota; Metazoa; Chordata; Mammalia; Artiodactyla; Suidae.
GAGGACUUAGCUUAAUUAAAGUGUUUGAUUUGCAUUCAAUUGAUGUAGGAUGGGUCCUGCAGUCCUUA